GUCCACGCCUUAAACGAUGGAUACUAGGUGUCGGGCCGAAAGGCUCGGUGCCAAAGCUAACGCAUUAAGUAUCUCACCUGGGGAGUACGAUCGCAAGGUUGAAACUCAAAGGAAUUGACGGGGGCCCGCACAAGCAGUGGAGCAUGUGGUUCAAUUCGAUGCAACGCGAAGAACCUUACCUGGGUUUGAAAGGCAAGUGACAGGCGAUGAAAGUCGCCCUCCCCGCAAGGGGCACUUGUACAGGUGCUGCAUGGCUGUCGU
This 261-nucleotide ribosomal RNA is filed under the name uncultured bacterium. RNAcentral's name for it is "partial 16S ribosomal RNA". It matches the Rfam family "Bacterial small subunit ribosomal RNA", at positions 793 to 1055 of the family's 1533-position model. The record is from RNAcentral.